Molecule: non-coding RNA, 72 nt
Organism: Syncephalis pseudoplumigaleata
Lineage: Eukaryota; Fungi; Zoopagomycota; Zoopagomycetes; Zoopagales; Piptocephalidaceae
Source: the annotation of a GenBank genome assembly
GCCCCCUUGGCGCAGCGGCAGCGCGUUCCGCUCGUAACGGAAAGGUCGGUGGUUCAAAUCCGCCAGGAGGCA